RNAcentral lists this signal recognition particle RNA (267 nucleotides) under Clostridia bacterium. RNAcentral describes it as "signal recognition particle sRNA large type". It matches the Rfam family "Bacterial large signal recognition particle RNA". Rfam says of the family: The signal recognition particle (SRP) is a universally conserved ribonucleoprotein involved in the co-translational targeting of proteins to membranes. RNAcentral also lists the same sequence under 1 other name. Lineage: Bacteria; Bacillati; Bacillota; Clostridia. The record is from RNAcentral.
CCAUACCAGCCGGGGGAGCAGCGGGUCCCUGUACUCGAAGUCCGCUACAGCGAGGGUGGAUUCCCGAUCCGAGGCUUGAGCUUGCGUAGUCUGUACUGUACGGACCGUGUUGACGAAUGGGUCCUGCGCGAUGGGCAGCUGUGAACCAUGUCAGGUGGGGAACCAAGCAGCAUUAAGCAGUGUUGGUCCAUGUGCCGCAGGGCAGCCUGUUCUGAGCGGAAACUACAGUGUCGUAUGUGAUCCUCAAGUCGACGUUCGGGUGUAUGG